RNAcentral lists this ribosomal RNA (465 nucleotides) under Vreelandella stevensii. RNAcentral describes it as "partial 16S ribosomal RNA". It matches the Rfam family "Bacterial small subunit ribosomal RNA", at positions 338 to 795 of the family's 1533-position model. The record is from RNAcentral. Lineage: Bacteria; Pseudomonadati; Pseudomonadota; Gammaproteobacteria; Oceanospirillales; Halomonadaceae.
CCUACGGGGGGCUGUAGUGGGGAAUAUUGGACAAUGGGGGCAACCCUGAUCCAGCCAUGCCGCGUGUGUGAAGAAGGCCCUCGGGUUGUAAAGCACUUUCAGUGAGGAAGAACGCCUGGUGGUUAAUACCCAUCAGGAAAGACAUCACUCACAGAAGAAGCACCGGCUAACUCCGUGCCAGCAGCCGCGGUAAUACGGAGGGUGCGAGCGUUAAUCGGAAUUACUGGGCGUAAAGCGCGCGUAGGUGGCUUGAUAAGCCGGUUGUGAAAGCCCCGGGCUCAACCUGGGAACGGCAUCCGGAACUGUCAAGCUAGAGUGCAGGAGAGGAAGGUAGAAUUCCCGGUGUAGCGGUGAAAUGCGUAGAGAUCGGGAGGAAUACCAGUGGCGAAGGCGGCCUUCUGGACUGACACUGACACUGAGGUGCGAAAGCGUGGGUAGCAAACAGGAUUAGAUACCCGAGUAGUC